Long non-coding RNA from Felis catus (domestic cat), 1051 nucleotides. RefSeq lists it as uncharacterized. NCBI's taxonomy places the organism in Eukaryota, Metazoa, Chordata, Mammalia, Carnivora, Felidae. The record is from RefSeq and is a predicted model, not a curated record. The transcript is spliced from 3 exons.
GUUCUAUGACAGGUGAACUGACUGAGGCUUACAGGAAGGAAGCCACCUGUCCAGGUCCACAGUGGAUCUGGGACUCCAGAUGGAGGCCAGAGGAAGCCCGCGGUCCUCCUGGGCACACGACCAGCUGGCGCUCCAUCCCAGGUCUCCACCCACUCAACGGGUAUCCUACAUGUCAGGCUCCUGACCCUAGCCCCUUCCUCUCUAUGGACCCGGCUCAGCCCCAUAUCCAUCGAAUAAGGGCCCAGGAGCCAGAGGGGUCCUUCCAAAUUGAGGAACUUAAAAAAAUUUUUCGAAAGGCUCAUUUUCUGAGAGAGAGAGGGUCCCGGCUGCAGCUGAACUGUCACCUCCUCAAAAGCUCCUCCCCUGAGGCUCCCGGCUAAGCACCGCCACCCGGGCACACACGUCACCCCACGAAUUCAAGGUGCGGGACACGGCCACCGCAGCCUGCUGAAGACCGGUCCUGCCUUCUCCCACCUGCCUCCGGAAGGCGACGAAGCACCCCCUCCAGGCUACCCGAGGGGUGACCGAAACGAUCAUGGUUGACACACGCUGACACUCAAAGUUCACUGCUGGCUGGCCUCCAGGCUGAGGUCCUUCCUCCCUCUCACCAUCCUCCGGUCAACAAGGGAGACUCCUGGGCUCAGAGAGGUACCUGUGUCAUUGUCCAGGGACGUAAGAGCAGGGGUCAGCUGACCUGUUCUGUGAGGGACCAGAGGUCAAGUGUGUUCAGCUGUACGGGCCCAACAGUCUCUGUCACAACCGCGCCGCUCUGCUGGCGGGGACAGGAAAACAGCCGCAGGCAAUACGCAAACGACCGACCGCGCGUGUCUGUGCCAAGAAAACUUUAUUGACACCGACGUCGUAUCGCUUCGCGUGUCGCAAAACAACCCUUCUUCUGAAAUGUUUUCAGCCACGGAAACGCAAACAUCUCGGGGCGCCCGGCUGGCUCAGUGGGUAGAGCACGUGACUCUAGAUCUCAGGGUCGUGAGUUCAAGCUCCGCUUCGGGCGUGGAGCUCACUUUAAAACACAGAAAGGAGGGGUGCCUGGGUG